This is an RNA transcript of Labrus mixtus (cuckoo wrasse), 2531 nucleotides long. It is a transcript of the gene named intermediate filament protein ON3, with no coding region annotated. NCBI's taxonomy places the organism in Eukaryota, Metazoa, Chordata, Actinopteri, Labriformes, Labridae. The record is from RefSeq and is a predicted model, not a curated record. The transcript has 11 exons.
CACUUGUUUCACUCCUCUCUUACUGACUCUGUUGCUCUCUGCUCAGCACAGCCUGUUUAUCCACCUGCCCUCUUCUUCUCCUCCUCCAUCAUGAGUCUGAGUCGCACCAAGAGGAUCAGCUCCAGUAGCUCUGUGCGCAGCAGCAGCGGCUCCAGGAGGCUGAGCGGGUUCGGUCCGGUUCAGGGGGGUUUCAGCGGGAUCUCUCUGAGCAGCAGCUCUCUGUACGCCAGUACCAACGGGCAUCACCACGGGCUGGCCUCCCCGCUGGCGUCCCUGUCCGUUAACAAGAGCCUGCUGGCCCCCCUCAACCUGGAGAUCGACCCCAACCUGUCGAUGAGCCGAGCCCACGAGAAGGAGCAGAUCAAGAGCCUCAACAACCGCUUUGCCACCUUCAUAGACAAGGUGCGUUUCCUGGAGCAGCAGAAUAAGAUGCUGGAGACCAAAUACGAGCUGCUGCAGGGUCAGGGGGUGGGCCGCUCCAACGUGGAGCCCCUGUUCGAGGCCUACAUGGCGGGUCUGCGUCGUCAGAUGGACCUGGUCAACAAUGACAAGAUCAAACUGGACGGAGAGCUGAGGAACAUGCAGGGCCUGGUGGAGGACUACAAGCACAAAUACGAGGACGAGAUCAACAAGAGAAACAACCUGGAGAACGACUUUGUUAUCCUAAAGAAGGAUGUAGACUCAGCCUACCUGGUGAAGGCCGAUCUGGAGGAUAAGGUCGGAUCUCUUACUGACGAGAUCAACUUCCUGCGCAACAUCUAUGAGGAGGAGCUGCGUGAGCUGCAGGCGAGCAUCAAAGACACGUCCGUGGUGGUGCAGAUGGACAACAGUCGCAGCCUGAACAUGGAGAAAAUCGUGGCCGAGGUCAAAGCUCAGUACGAAGAGAUCGCAGCCCACAGUCGAGAGGACGCUGAGGCCUGGUACAAGAGCAAAUUCGACCAGAUGUCCGAUCAGGCGAGUCGGUUUGGAGACGAGCUCCGCAACGUGAAGGGAGAGGUCGCAGAGGUCAACAGGCUGAUCAGUCGACUGCAGAGCGAGAUCGAGGCCGUCAAAGCUCAGCGUGGCGGUCUGGAGAACCAGCUGGCUGAGGCUGAGGAGCGUGGAGAGCUCACUGUGAAAGAAGCCAAAGCACGGACCAGAGACCUGGAGGACGCCCUGCAGAGAGCCAAACAGGACAUGGCCCGGCAGCUCAGAGAGUACCAGGACUUGAUGAACCUGAAACUGGCUCUGGAUAUUGAGAUCGCCACCUACAGGAAGCUGCUGGAGGGGGAGGAGGACAGAAUUGGGCAUCAGUCCAUCCUCAACAUCCAGGCCGUCUCCAACUACAGUACAAAGAGUUCCAACGGUUACCACAGCAACAGCAGCUCUCCGGCUCCCAAACUGCUGAUCAAGACGACAGAGACCCGAGACGUCAGCAGAUACAGCUCUCACUGAGACCAUCACACAACAUGCAUGCUGCUUCAUACAUACAAUUAUCUAAAGAUCACAUUUUCUACCUUUAGUACUCCUCUUCAGUUUCCUGCAUUUCUUUAACGUCACAGAUUUAAUUUUUUAUCAGCAUGCUAUUCAAACUCUCAUAAAGGAUUAAAAUACUCGUAAAUAUAAACAUAAACACCCCACAUAGAAACACAGAUUCAUUGACUUUAAGGUGUCUCGAUGUGUGACGGGGGGCGGGGACAUUUAGUGAUCUGUAUUUUCUAACUGUAGAAAUAUUAAAACAUGAAUUAUAAUCAUAGAGAAACUUCAAUAUGGAGGAACUAUUUCUGGGAAUGUCUUUACAUAUGUUGCUCUUUUAUUGAGAUUUUAUUUUUUCUGUCCUUAAAUCUUCAACGCUCCGUUCUUUCUAACAAACACUGAAUUAAAUUAGAGGAUAGAUUAUUUAGUUAGCUCUCUUAAAGGCAGGGUUGGUAAUUUCCUCCAGAUCUUCAGAUUGAAAUUGUCUUUAGGUCCUGACAGAAAUUAAUAACUCAUGUUCUCUGAAAAAGGAACAAAGAAAAUCCGUCAUCUGCAGCAGUUGUAAGCCUGUAAAAACUUCAACCAAUGUCUGCCACGAGGUACCAAUCUGAUGAACCAAUCACACGCCUCCCUGUCUCCCUGAUCGCUCUCUACCUCUUGCGUGCUCUAGCUCAAACUCAAAGCACGUCACCGAUGACUUCAGGAGUUUAUUCUGAGAGUUUACAGUUUACUUAUGAGGGACCACAGAGGGGAGGGGGUGCAGACAGGGCACAGAGGGAAUGCUACUUUCAAAAUCAUGCUUGUUUUUUAAAUUACCAACCCUGCCUUUAAUCUGUGUGAAGAUAAUAAAGCAUAAAUGAAAUCAUUGUUUGGAAAGUGAUUUGGGUUUUUUCUGCUCAAGGUGUGUUUCAUUAACGCUGCAUGUUGAAUCCAACGCUGUGCAGUGUAUGGUAGGGUCAACUAUCUUUAAUCGACACGUUGUCUCCGGGUUUCAUUUUGUGUGUUAUGUUAUGGCUUCUGCUUUGAAUAAAUUUAAAAAGAACAACAAAGCUGUGGAGUGUUUUUUUUUCUACCUC